This 775-nucleotide ribosomal RNA is filed under the name uncultured Neocallimastigales. RNAcentral's name for it is "partial large subunit ribosomal RNA". It matches the Rfam family "Eukaryotic large subunit ribosomal RNA", at positions 22 to 635 of the family's 3401-position model. The record is from RNAcentral. Lineage: Eukaryota; Fungi; Neocallimastigomycota; Neocallimastigomycetes; Neocallimastigales.
GUACACGCUGUGACUAGCAUAUCAAUAAGCGGAGGAAAAGAAACUAACAAGGAUUCCCCUAGUAACGGCGAGUGAAGCGGGAAGAGCUCAAAUUUGAAAUCUUAAAGGGUUUCCCUUUACGAAUUGUAGUUUAAAGAAGUGUUUUCUGUUGAGGUUUUGGUAAAAGUUCUUUGGAAUAGGACAUCAUAGAGGGUGAGAAUCCCGUAUUUGACCUUUACUUUCAACUUUGUGAUACACUUUCAAGGAGUCGGAUUGUUUGGGAAUGCAGUCCAAAAUGGGUGGUAAAUUUCAUCUAAAGCUAAAUAUUGGCGAGAGACCGAUAGCGAACAAGUACCGUGAGGGAAAGAUGAAAAGAACUUUGAAAAGAGAGGUUAAACAGUACGUGAAAUUGUCAAAAGGGAAGCGUUUGACACCAGUGUUGUUUUUCUGAAGAUCAAUUAAAGAACUGUUUAUGCUAAGCUGUUUAGACUUUAUCAGCUAUCUGUUUAGUUUGGAGCUUUUCUUUAAUGCACUUUUCAGUUAACAAGUCAACAUCAAUUUCUUUUGCUGUAAAAAAGCUUGAGGAAGGUGGCUUGAGAUUCGUCUUAAGUGUUUAUAGCCUCUUGCCUAUGCAGUCGGAGAGAUUGAGGUCUGCAGCGUAGAUCCUUCGGGGCUAAAUGCAUUUGUGCUAAGUUAUAGCAUUUUAUAGACAACUUGUUGACUAUGAUUUGUCUUGUAGCUUACUCGCUUAUGUUAUUUUACCUACGCUUAGGAUGUUGAAGAUGUAGCACAUCAU